RNAcentral lists this ribosomal RNA (200 nucleotides) under uncultured bacterium. Its description in RNAcentral is "partial 16S ribosomal RNA". It matches the Rfam family "Bacterial small subunit ribosomal RNA", at positions 524 to 723 of the family's 1533-position model. The record is from RNAcentral.
UACGGAGGGUGCAAGCGUUAAUCGGAAUUACUGGGCGUAAAGCGCACGCAGGCGGUUUGUUAAGCUAGAUGUGAAAGCCCUGGGCUCAACCUGGGAAUUGCAUUUAGAACUGGCAGGCUAGAGUACAGUAGAGGGUGGUGGAAUUUCCAGUGUAGCGGUGAAAUGCGUAGAGAUUGGAAGGAACAUCAGUGGCGAAGGCG